Molecule: transfer RNA, 71 nt
Filed under: Dermacentor andersoni
Lineage: Eukaryota; Metazoa; Arthropoda; Arachnida; Ixodida; Ixodidae
Description: transfer RNA glycine (anticodon GCC)
Rfam family: tRNA
About the family: Transfer RNA (tRNA) molecules are approximately 80 nucleotides in length. Their secondary structure includes four short double-helical elements and three loops (D, anti-codon, and T loops).
Source: RNAcentral
GCGUCGGUGGUUCAGUGGUAGAAUACUCGCCUGCCACGCGGGUGGCCCAGGUUCGAUUCUCGGCCCGCGCA